RNAcentral lists this long non-coding RNA (1285 nucleotides) under Ornithorhynchus anatinus (platypus). Its description in RNAcentral is "lncRNA (ENSOANG00000038946.1)". The record is from RNAcentral. Lineage: Eukaryota; Metazoa; Chordata; Mammalia; Monotremata; Ornithorhynchidae.
GACAGAUGAAGACUGUGAGCCUCACGUGGGACAACCUGAUGACCCUGUAUCUCCCCCAGCGCUUAGAACAGUGCUCUGCACAUAGUAAGUGCUUAACAAAUACCAACGUUAUCAUUAUAUAUAUGCAUCAUUAAUAAAUAGGGUAAUAAAUGUGUACAAAUAUACACAGUGCUGUGGGGCGGGGAAGGGGGUAGAGCAGAGGGAGGGAGUCAGGGAGAAGGGGAGGAGGGGCGGAGGGAAAGGGAGGGCUCAGUGUGGGAAGGCCUCCUGGAGGAGGUGAGCUCUCAGUAGGGCUUUGAAGAGGGGAAGAGAGUGAGUUUGGCGGAGGUGAGGAGGGAGGGCGUCACCAUAAUCAUCACCCUCCACCCCCAUCACCAUCCCCAGGACCCCCCCAACAGGAGCCCACUUAGUUGGGAGAGCCCCCCUUCCCACCGGAUUGUAUCUGAGGCAGGGGGACGAACGAGAUGACCCAGGCCGGGAAGUCGCGCGGGAUGCGGGGCCGCAGGGGGAGGCCAGCGGAUUAGAAGAGGGGCGUCGGCCUCCGACUCAACAGGUCAUGGCCAUCCGCAGGGUCAACCGGUCCCUCCCCCGGCCUCGCCACGGGGGAUGGGUGGGGGGGUCUUUUGGGGGCUGACCUGUCGGGCCUCAGUCCCUCCACGCACCCUGAUUCCCCUGUACCCAUUGGAAGCAGCGGGGCUUAGUGGAAAAGAGGCCGGGCUUGGGAGUCAGCGGUCGUGGGUUCUAAUCCCGGCUCCGCCACUUGUCUGCUGCGUGACCUUGGGCAACUCACUUAACUUCUCUGGGGCUCAGUUACCUCAUCUGUAAAAAUGGGGAUUAAAAGAAAAAGGGGGGGCCCCACGUGGGACAAUCUGAUUACCCUGUCUCUACCCCAGUGCUUAGAACAGUGCUCUGCACAUAGUAAGCACUUAACAAAUACCAUAAUAAUACGGAUGGAAAGGCUGAGGACGGCGGGCAGGGUCGGGGAGGGAGAUGACCAUCACCGACCACCGUCCUGGAGUCCAAACUCUCACGUAGGCAACCUCUGCCACGUGCCCUCCCUUCCCCCACCUCCCCCCACCCCGCCCUAUCGGGAGAGUCUUCCUUGGGUCUAGCCUCCUUCCCUCCCGCUGCAAUCCCAAAAUUCUUCCUCUUAGGCUUUAUCCUCAACCCUCAACACACACACACACACACACACACACACACACACACACCCCAGAAGUCCCCACUGCCCCCCCGCACCCCCGGCCAAACCCCAGCCUUGAAUUUCUGGAAUCUUUCCGGCCGC